CAUCCUCCAAGGCUAAAUACUCCUGACUGACCGAUAGUGAACCAGUACCGUGAGGGAAAGGCGAAAAGAACCCCGGCGAGGGGAGUGAAAAAGAACCUGAAACCGUGUACGUACAAGCAGUGGGAGCACCCUUUGGGGUGUGACUGCGUACCUUUUGUAUAAUGGGUCAGCGACUUAUAUUCUGUAGCAAGGUUAACCGUAUAGGGGAGCCGUAGGGAAACCGAGUCUUAAUUGGGCGUUAAGUUGCAGGGUAUAGACCCGAAACCCGGUGAUCUAGCCAUGGGCAGGUUGAAGGUUGGGUAACACUAACUGGAGGACCGAACCGACUAAUGUUGAAAAAUUAGCGGAUGACCUGUGGCUGGGGGUGAAAGGCCAAUCAAACCGGGAGAUAGCUGGUUCUCCCCGAAAGCUAUUUAGGUAGCGCCUCGUGAAUUCAUCUCCGGGGGUAGAGCACUGUUUCGGCUAGGGGGCCAUCCCGGCUUACCAACCCGAUGCAAACUGCGAAUACCGGAGAAUGUUAUCACGGGAGACACACGGCGGGUGCUAACGUCCGUCGUGAAGAGGGAAACAACCCAGACCGCCAGCUAAGGUCCCAAAGUCAUGGUUAAGUGGGAAACGAUGUGGGAAGGCCCAGACAGCCAGGAUGUUGGCUUAGAAGCAGCCAUCAUUUAAAGAAAGCGUAAUAGCUCACUGGUCGAGUCGGCCUGCGCGGAAGAUGUAACGGGGCUAAACCAUGCACCGAAGCUGCGGCAGCGAACGUAUCACUUAAAGCGAUUCAGCGGGUUACGAUUGACGGAGCGAAGCGACGUCAAAGCGUAUACAAAGUCGAGUCGGUUUAAGGAUACGUUCGUUGGGUAGGGGAGCGUUCUGUAAGCCUGUGAAGGUGGCCUGUGAGGGUUGCUGGAGGUAUCAGAAGUGCGAAUGCUGACAUAAGUAACGAUAAAGCGGGUGAAAAGCCCGCUCGCCGGAAGACCAAGGGUUCCUGUCCAACGUUAAUCGGGGCAGGGUGAGUCGACCCCUAAGGCGAGGCCGAAAGGCGUAGUCGAUGGGAAAC
Molecule: ribosomal RNA, 1054 nt
Filed under: Salmonella enterica subsp. enterica serovar Thompson
Lineage: Bacteria; Pseudomonadati; Pseudomonadota; Gammaproteobacteria; Enterobacterales; Enterobacteriaceae
Description: bacterial LSU rRNA
Rfam family: Bacterial large subunit ribosomal RNA
Source: RNAcentral